CGCCAGACUCCUACGGGAGGCAGCAGUGGGGAAUAUUGCACAAUGGGGGAAGCCCUGAUGCAGCGACGCCGCGUGAGCGAUGAAGUAUUUCGGUAUGUAAAGCUCCAUCAGCAGGGAAGAAGAUGACGGUACCUGACUAAGAAGCCCCGGCUAACUACGUGCCAGCAGCCGCGGUAAUACGUAGGGGGCAAGCGUUAUCCGGAUUUACUGGGUGUAAAGGGAGCGUAGACGGCGAUGCAAGCCAGAUGUGAAAGCCCGGGGCUCAACCCCGGGACUGCAUUUGGAACUGUGUGGCUGGAGUGUCGGAGAGGCAGGCGGAAUUCCUAGUGUAGCGGUGAAAUGCGUAGAUAUUAGGAGGAACACCAGUGGCGAAGGCGGCCUGCUGGACGAUGACUGACGUUGAGGCUCGAAAGCGUGGGGAGCAAACAGGAUUAGAUACCCGUGUA
This 446-nucleotide ribosomal RNA is filed under the name uncultured bacterium. Its description in RNAcentral is "bacterial SSU rRNA". It matches the Rfam family "Bacterial small subunit ribosomal RNA", at positions 329 to 792 of the family's 1533-position model. The record is from RNAcentral.